AUUGAACGCUGGCGGCAGGCUUAACACAUGCAAGUCGAGCGGGGUGAUGGUGCUUGCACUAUCACUUAGCGGCGGACGGGUGAGUAAUGCUUAGGAAUCUGCCUAUUAGUGGGGGACAACAUCUCGAAAGGGAUGCUAAUACCGCAUACGUCCUACGGGAGAAAGCAGGGGAUCACUUGUGACCUUGCGCUAAUAGAUGAGCCUAAGUCGGAUUAGCUAGCUGGUGGGUAAAGGCCUACCAAGGCGACGAUCUGUAGCGGGUCUGAGAGGAUGAUCCGCCACACUGGGACUGAGACACGGCCCAGACUCCUACGGGAGGCAGCAGUGGGGAAUAUUGGACAAUGGGGGGAACCCUGAUCCAGCCAUGCCGCGUGUGUGAAGAAGGCCUUAUGGUUGUAAAGCACUUUAAGCGAGGAGGAGGCUCUUUUGGUUAAUACCUAAGAUGAGUGGACGUUACUCGCAGAAUAAGCACCAGCUAACUCUGUGCCAGCCGCCGCGGUAA
RNAcentral lists this ribosomal RNA (502 nucleotides) under uncultured bacterium. RNAcentral describes it as "partial 16S ribosomal RNA". It matches the Rfam family "Bacterial small subunit ribosomal RNA", at positions 30 to 523 of the family's 1533-position model. The record is from RNAcentral.